UACACUCCUGCGGGAGGCAGCAGUGGGGAAUUUUGGACAAUGGGCGAAAGCCUGAUCCAGCAAUGCCGCGUGUGUGAAGAAGGCCUUCGGGUUGUAAAGCACUUUUGUCCGGAAAGAAAUCCUUGGCUCUAAUACAGUCGGGGGAUGACGGUACCGGAAGAAUAAGCACCGGCUAACUACGUGCCAGCAGCCGCGGUAAUACGUAGGGUGCGAGCGUUAAUCGGAAUUACUGGGCGUAAAGCGUGCGCAGGCGGUUUGCUAAGACCGAUGUGAAAUCCCCGGGCUCAACCUGGGAACUGCAUUGGUGACUGGCAGGCUAGAGUAUGGCAGAGGGGGGUAGAAUUCCACGUGUAGCAGUGAAAUGCGUAGAGAUGUGGAGGAAUACCGAUGGCGAAGGCAGCCCCCUGGGCCAAUACUGACGCUCAUGCACGAAAGCGUGGGGAGCAAACAGGAUUAGAUACCCCGGUAGUCCCA
This 474-nucleotide ribosomal RNA is filed under the name uncultured organism. RNAcentral's name for it is "partial 16S ribosomal RNA". It matches the Rfam family "Bacterial small subunit ribosomal RNA", at positions 332 to 797 of the family's 1533-position model. The record is from RNAcentral.